This 465-nucleotide long non-coding RNA is filed under the name Bos taurus (domestic cattle). Its description in RNAcentral is "long non-coding RNA NONBTAT018493". The record is from RNAcentral. Lineage: Eukaryota; Metazoa; Chordata; Mammalia; Artiodactyla; Bovidae.
CAUCAACGACUUCUUCUACACUUAGAAUGAAACUCAGACUUUCUUCCAUAAGCCUCCUCAGGCCCUUCAGAAUCCAGUGGAGAGUGUAUCUUGAGCAUCAUUUUUGAGAUUAAUCAAAUGUGGGUUUUGAAAUCCAAGUCCAUCUCAGGCUCUAUGACUCUAAAUGAUGGGUAUUGUAUGCUAGAACAUUCAAUUUCCAUAAGGUGCAAUAAACAUUACAUUAUUUUGUAGAUAUUUAGAGGAUACAAUGUUACAAAUACUUAAUAGGACCAAGAUCAAAUUAAUUUUCCCCCAAAUAUUGCUCUUUUCAUUCUGACACUUGUACUUUUACUAUUCACAUAGACAACUUUAACAUGUUGAUAAAGUUUGAAUUAUUAUUCCAGAAAACUUUUGUAUGAAGUAACAUUCAACCAGACAGCAAGAAGGAAAAAGAGUUUUAUUUAUCACUAUGUAUGAUAAAUGAAA